Molecule: ribosomal RNA, 595 nt
Filed under: Microbacterium sp.
Lineage: Bacteria; Bacillati; Actinomycetota; Actinomycetes; Micrococcales; Microbacteriaceae
Description: bacterial SSU rRNA
Rfam family: Bacterial small subunit ribosomal RNA
Source: RNAcentral
GGGCUCGCGGCCUAUCAGCUUGUUGGUGAGGUAAUGGCUCACCAAGGCGUCGACGGGUAGCCGGCCUGAGAGGGUGACCGGCCACACUGGGACUGAGACACGGCCCAGACUCCUACGGGAGGCAGCAGUGGGGAAUAUUGCACAAUGGGCGAAAGCCUGAUGCAGCAACGCCGCGUGAGGGAUGACGGCCUUCGGGUUGUAAACCUCUUUUAGCAAGGAAGAAGCGAAAGUGACGGUACUUGCAGAAAAAGCGCCGGCUAACUACGUGCCAGCAGCCGCGGUAAUACGUAGGGCGCAAGCGUUAUCCGGAAUUAUUGGGCGUAAAGAGCUCGUAGGCGGUUUGUCGCGUCUGCUGUGAAAACUGGAGGCUCAACCUCCAGCCUGCAGUGGGUACGGGCAGACUAGAGUGCGGUAGGGGAGAUUGGAAUUCCUGGUGUAGCGGUGGAAUGCGCAGAUAUCAGGAGGAACACCGAUGGCGAAGGCAGAUCUCUGGGCCGUAACUGACGCUGAGGAGCGAAAGGGUGGGGAGCAAACAGGCUUAGAUACCCUGGUAGUCCACCCCGUAAACGUUGGGAACUAGUUGUGGGGACCAUUC